Molecule: ribosomal RNA, 465 nt
Filed under: Vreelandella stevensii
Lineage: Bacteria; Pseudomonadati; Pseudomonadota; Gammaproteobacteria; Oceanospirillales; Halomonadaceae
Description: partial 16S ribosomal RNA
Rfam family: Bacterial small subunit ribosomal RNA
Source: RNAcentral
CCUACGGGGGGCUGCAGUGGGGAAUAUUGGACAAUGGGGGGAACCCUGAUCCAGCCAUGCCGCGUGUGUGAAGAAGGCCCUCGGGUUGUAAAGCACUUUCAGUGAGGAAGAACGCCUGGUGGUUAAUACCCAUCAGGAAAGACAUCACUCACAGAAGAAGCACCGGCUAACUCCGUGCCAGCAGCCGCGGUAAUACGGAGGGUGCGAGCGUUAAUCGGAAUUACUGGGCGUAAAGCGCGCGUAGGUGGCUUGAUAAGCCGGUUGUGAAAGCCCCGGGCUCAACCUGGGAACGGCAUCCGGAACUGUCAAGCUAGAGUGCAGGAGAGGAAGGUAGAAUUCCCGGUGUAGCGGUGAAAUGCGUAGAGAUCGGGAGGAAUACCAGUGGCGAAGGCGGCCUUCUGGACUGACACUGACACUGAGGUGCGAAAGCGUGGGUAGCAAACAGGAUUAGAUACCUGAGUAGUC